GUCUCGUCAAUGAUACUGUUGAUAACAUUGAAAGUGAAGUGUCAAACAUGGACAAAGAACAGCGGCGUAGCAGCCCUGCAUACCGCUGGGAGUCUUCCUGUCAGACUUCAAGCUGGGUGUCGCCAUCACGACUGCGUCCACCUGAGUUAGGAUCCCAUUAUGAGCUUAAUGACACCCAGCAGAACAUCAGACGCGGAGGCAGCACGCACUCUCUGCAGCUGGACUACAGGGUGAUGGGCUACAACGCGGACAAAAGCCGUGAGAGGACACAGGAAACUGGGAGGAGGACCUUUCAGUGGGAGAGGAAUCAGUCUGGAGAGUGGGAGAGAAAACACACCCCGGACAGAAAAGAAAAGAGAAGGUACAAGGAGGAAGGAAGGAAUAUGAACAUUAGGACCAAGGACAUGGAGGGACACCAGGACCACGGAGAUCAGCAGCUGCAGGACCAAGACAGCUGUGACGACAGCUCCUCGCCCGUGUAUGAAGAGUACCAAGAGUCCAGACAUGAUCCGGAACAAAAUGAAGACACGGAGAGCCUUUAUGAUAU
Long non-coding RNA from Astatotilapia calliptera (eastern happy), 547 nucleotides. The record is from Ensembl. Lineage: Eukaryota; Metazoa; Chordata; Actinopteri; Cichliformes; Cichlidae.